GGUUGUGGCUCAGUGGUAGAGCGCUUGCCUGGCAUGUGUGAGCCACUGGGUUAGAUUCUCAUCACCA
This 67-nucleotide transfer RNA is filed under the name Marmota monax (woodchuck). RNAcentral's name for it is "tRNA.Ala". The record is from RNAcentral. Lineage: Eukaryota; Metazoa; Chordata; Mammalia; Rodentia; Sciuridae.